This 1578-nucleotide long non-coding RNA is filed under the name Homo sapiens (human). RNAcentral describes it as "PREDICTED lncRNA (TCONS_00181373)". The record is from RNAcentral. Lineage: Eukaryota; Metazoa; Chordata; Mammalia; Primates; Hominidae.
UCUCGCUCUGCCACCCAGGCUGAAGUGCAGUGGUGCAAUCUCAGCUCACUGCAACCUCCGCCUCCCAGGUUCAAGCAAUUCUCCUGCCUCAGAUUCCCGAGUAGCCAGGAUUACAGGUGCCCACCACCACACCCGGAGACGAGGUCUCACUAUGUUGGCCAGGUUGGUCUCGAAUUCCUGGCCGCAAGCCGUUCUCCAGUCUGGGCCUCCCAAAGUGCUAGGAUUACAGGAACAGAAUUGCCAUUGGGCCCAGGGAGAGACUACACUUCUUGUCUGCUUUGUUGCUAGUGCGGCCUUGUGGCCAAGCACAGAACGUGUGCAGUGAUGAUGGUGCAACUUCUAGGUCGUCCCCAGCAUGGAAAAUGAGCCCUGGGCAUGGAAGAUGAGCCCUGGUCCUGCAGCGGUGCUCUUUCCUCUUCUCACAAGCUGGAAUGUGCAUGUGCUCCCACCCAGCUUUGACCAUGGGGCGAAAACAGUACUCUGCAGUCUGGCAGAGCAACAAGGUGGAAAGGGCCUGGGUCCUUGAGUGACGUCAUGAGCCCUCUCACUGUCCCGACUUUGGGACUGUUAUAUGAUAAGGACUUUCUGUGAGUCACUGUCUUUUAGAGUCUCUCUGUUUUAGCUGCCUGGACUUUAUCCUGAAUAAUAUGGCUGUUAUCAUGGGUAUAGUGUUACUAUGAGCCUCAUCUAAGUAAUUUCUACUCUGCCUUUGACCACUAAACUCAUGUUGGACAAGAGUCACUUAGCAUUAUUUUUUCCUCAAUGAAGAGGUUAAGAUGGAGGGAGCAGGAGAAAUUGAGGCCUGUGUUUUACCAGAAGGUGAAGGGCUGUCUUUGCCUUUCCUACAUUUAUGAAGGAUAAUUCUAGACAAAAACAUUAAGUUCAUAUCAAACCAUCUGCUUUGUGAAGCCAUGGGCUUUGCUAGAACUUUCUGUGACAUGACAUUUAUUAACCCGAGUCUACCUGGAAGUUAGAGCUGAGGAAGUUUUCCUAGAGUGGAAAAAGUCCAAUGCACUUGUAAAAGUCAGACCAAGCUCAGCUCAGAUUUCAGUUUUAUUAGAAGUAUGUCACCUUCCUGAGCCCUUAUUAUUUCCCCAUCUGUGAAAUGAGGACACCGUUCUCUCUUUCUAAGCAUUGCUGGGAAGACCACACACCACUGAGACAGAAGGUGGGGCUAGCGCAGUUCUGGGCAUUUUGUACACCCCCAACAAAUACUGAUUUAUUUCCUUCUUUUUCCUUGCUCAGAAAAAAUUGGAGAAGGCUUUAUUUUAAAAUUCUGCCUGAAUUACUUUAUUUUAUUUAUUUAUUUAUUUAUUUUUUGGAGACAGAGUGUUGCUGUGUCACCCAGGCUGGAGUGCAGUGGUGCGAUCUCAGCUCACUGCAACCUCCUCCUGCUGAGGCAGGGAGAAUCACUUGAACCUGGGGGGGCAGAGGUUGCAGUGAGCCAAGAUAGUGCCACUGUACUACCGCCUGGGCGACAGAGCAAGACUUUGUCUCAAAAAAAAAAAAAAAAGAAAAUAUUUGACUUUCUUUUUAAAAUGUAUAUGGUUUACAAAUAAAGUUUACAAAUGCUUUUAC